GCGUACCUUUUGUAUAAUGGGUCAGCGACUUAUAUUCUGUAGCAAGGUUAACCGAAUAGGGGAGCCGAAGGGAAACCGAGUCUUAACUGGGCGUUAAGUUGCAGGGUAUAGACCCGAAACCCGGUGAUCUAGCCAUGGGCAGGUUGAAGGUUGGGUAACACUAACUGGAGGACCGAACCGACUAAUGUUGAAAAAUUAGCGGAUGACUUGUGGCUGGGGGUGAAAGGCCAAUCAAACCGGGAGAUAGCUGGUUCUCCCCGAAAGCUAUUUAGGUAGCGCCUCGUGAAUUCAUCUCCGGGGGUAGAGCACUGUUUCGGCAAGGGGGUCAUCCCGACUUACCAACCCGAUGCAAACUGCGAAUACCGGAGAAUGUUAUCACGGGAGACACACGGCGGGUGCUAACGUCCGUCGUGAAGAGGGAAACAACCCAGACCGCCAGCUAAGGUCCCAAAGUCAUGGUUAAGUGGGAAACGAUGUGGGAAGGCCCAGACAGCCAGGAUGUUGGCUUAGAAGCAGCCAUCAUUUAAAGAAAGCGUAAUAGCUCACUGGUCGAGUCGGCCUGCGCGGAAGAUGUAACGGGGCUAAACCAUGCACCGAAGCUGCGGCAGCGACGCUUAUGCGUUGUUGGGUAGGGGAGCGUUCUGUAAGCCUGUGAAGGUGUGCUGUGAGGCAUGCUGGAGGUAUCAGAAGUGCGAAUGCUGACAUAAGUAACGAUAAAGCGGGUGAAAAGCCCGCUCGCCGGAAGACCAAGGGUUCCUGUCCAACGUUAAUCGGGGCAGGGUGAGUCGACCCCUAAGGCGAGGCCGAAAGGCGUAGUCGAUGGGAAACAGGUUAAUAUUCCUGUACUUGGUGUUACUGCGAAGGGGGGACGGAGAAGGCUAUGUUGGCCGGGCGACGGUUGUCCCGGUUUAAGCGUGUAGGCUGGUUUUCCAGGCAAAUCCGGAAAAUCAAGGCUGAGGCGUGAUGACGAGGCACUACGGUGCUGAAGCAACAAAUGCCCUGCUUCCAGGAAAAGCCUCUAAGCAUCAGGUAACAUCAAAUCGUACCCCAAACCGACACAGGUGGUCAGGUAGAGAAUACCAAGGCGCUUGAGAGAACUCGGGUGAAGGAACUAGGCAAAAUGGUGCCGUAACUUCGGGAGAAGGCACGCUGAUAUGUAGGUGAAGCGACUUGCUCGUGGAGCUGAAAUCAGUCGAAGAUACCAGCUGGCUGCAACUGUUUAUUAAAAACACAGCACUGUGCAAACACGAAAGUGGACGUAUACGGUGUGACGCCUGCCCGGUGCCGGAAGGUUAAUUGAUGGGGUCAGCGCAAGCGAAGCUCUUGAUCGAAGCCCCGGUAAACGGCGGCCGUAACUAUAACGGUCCUAAGGUAGCGAAAUUCCUUGUCGGGUAAGUUCCGACCUGCACGAAUGGCGUAAUGAUGGCCAGGCUGUCUCCACCCGAGACUCAGUGAAAUUGAACUCGCUGUGAAGAUGCAGUGUACCCGCGGCAAGACGGAAAGACCCCGUGAACCUUUACUAUAGCUUGACACUGAACAUUGAGCCUUGAUGUGUAGGAUAGGUGGGAGGCUUUGAAGUGUGGACGCCAGUCUGCAUGGAGCCGACCUUGAAAUACCACCCUUUAAUGUUUGAUGUUCUAACGUUGGCCCCUAAUCGGGGUUGCGGACAGUGUCUGGUGGGUAGUUUGACUGGGGCGGUCUCCUCCUAAAGAGUAACGGAGGAGCACGAAGGUUGGCUAAUCCUGGUCGGACAUCAGGAGGUUAGUGCAAUGGCAUAAGCCAGCUUGACUGCGAGCGUGACGGCGCGAGCAGGUGCGAAAGCAGGUCAUAGUGAUCCGGUGGUUCUGAAUGGAAGGGCCAUCGCUCAACGGAUAAAAGGUACUCCGGGGAUAACAGGCUGAUACCGCCCAAGAGUUCAUAUCGACGGCGGUGUUUGGCACCUCGAUGUCGGCUCAUCACAUCCUGGGGCUGAAGUAGGUCCCAAGGGUAUGGCUGUUCGCCAUUUAAAGUGGUACGCGAGCUGGGUUUAGAACGUCGUGAGACAGUUCGGUCCCUAUCUGCCGUGGGCGCUGGAGAACUGAGGGGGGCUGCUCCUAGUACGAGAGGACCGGAGUGGACGCAUCACUGGUGUUCGGGUUGUCAUGCCAAUGGCACUGCCCGGUAGCUAAAUGCGGAAGAGAUAAGUGCUGAAAGCAUCUAAGCACGAAACUUGCCCCGAGAUGAGUUCUCCCUGACCCUUUAAGGGUCCUGAAGGAACGUUGAAGACGACGACGUUGAUAGGCCGGGUGUGUAAGCGCAGCGAUGCGUUGAGCUAACCGGUACUAAUGAACCGUGAGG
This 2337-nucleotide ribosomal RNA is filed under the name Escherichia coli. Its description in RNAcentral is "partial 23S ribosomal RNA". It matches the Rfam family "Bacterial large subunit ribosomal RNA", at positions 599 to 2915 of the family's 2925-position model. Lineage: Bacteria; Pseudomonadati; Pseudomonadota; Gammaproteobacteria; Enterobacterales; Enterobacteriaceae. The record is from RNAcentral.